AGGGAAAGGAGCUGGAAGACCUGGGUUCUAGUCCCAAUUCUGCCACUAACUUGCUAUGUGACCCUGACUGAGUCACAUUUCCCCUCUGGGCCUGUUUC
Long non-coding RNA from Lontra canadensis (Northern American river otter), 98 nucleotides. RefSeq lists it as uncharacterized. The record is from RefSeq and is a predicted model, not a curated record. NCBI's taxonomy places the organism in Eukaryota, Metazoa, Chordata, Mammalia, Carnivora, Mustelidae. The transcript has 3 exons.